RNAcentral lists this ribosomal RNA (253 nucleotides) under uncultured bacterium. RNAcentral's name for it is "partial 16S ribosomal RNA". It matches the Rfam family "Bacterial small subunit ribosomal RNA", at positions 524 to 776 of the family's 1533-position model. The record is from RNAcentral.
UACAGAGGUCCCAAGCGUUGUUCGGAUUCACUGGGCGUAAAGGGCGCGUAGGCGGCCUGCUAAGUCACACGUGAAAUCCCUCGGCUCAACCGGGGAACUGCGUGUGAUACUGGCGGGCUUGAAUUCGGGAGAGGGAUGUGGAAUUCCAGGUGUAGCGGUGAAAUGCGUAGAUAUCUGGAGGAACACCGGUGGCGAAGGCGGCAUCCUGGACCGAGAUUGACGCUGAGGCGCGAAAGCUAGGGGAGCAAACGGG